This 162-nucleotide ribosomal RNA is filed under the name Debregeasia longifolia. Its description in RNAcentral is "5.8S ribosomal RNA". The stretch from base 29 to 162 matches the Rfam family "5.8S ribosomal RNA", at positions 1 to 132 of the family's 154-position model. From Rfam's summary of the family: 5.8S ribosomal RNA (5.8S rRNA) is a component of the large subunit of the eukaryotic ribosome. The record is from RNAcentral. Lineage: Eukaryota; Viridiplantae; Streptophyta; Magnoliopsida; Rosales; Urticaceae. RNAcentral also lists the same sequence under 4 other names.
GUCGUUCGCUACAAUUAAAUGUCGUAACGACUCUCGGCAACGGAUAUCUCGGCUCUCGCAUCGAUGAAGAACGUAGCGAAAUGCGAUACUUGGUGUGAAUUGCAGAAUCCCGUGAACCAUCGAGUCUUUGAACGCAAGUUGCGCCCGAAGCCGUUAGGCCGA